Long non-coding RNA from Pantherophis guttatus, 289 nucleotides. RefSeq lists it as uncharacterized. NCBI's taxonomy places the organism in Eukaryota, Metazoa, Chordata, Lepidosauria, Squamata, Colubridae. The record is from RefSeq and is a predicted model, not a curated record.
CUGCCAAAUGGCUACUGUAGUUCAGAUUGUCCAGAAGGUGAGAUAUUGCCAUACUGGUGUUGGGGAAGUCAGUAUUGCUGCAUAUGGCCUUCCGAACAACAUGGUAUGGGAUAAAAUAUCAGGAAAAGUCUGAAGAGUCUGAAGAGUUCUGAAGAAGAUAUUGAAACAUGGUGGCUGGAAGGUGUGCAAGCAAUCUUGCUGAGAUACAAAUAUUUUGAUUGAAUGUAUAAUCUGGAAAAAGAUAACAGUUUAACAUGUUGAUCUGUAUAUUAAAGCUCUAUAAUAGCAA